This 52-nucleotide ribosomal RNA is filed under the name Candidatus Berkelbacteria bacterium CG_4_9_14_0_2_um_filter_42_30. Its description in RNAcentral is "partial 23S ribosomal RNA". The record is from RNAcentral. Lineage: Bacteria; Candidatus Berkelbacteria.
ACUAUAGUUAGAUAUUGAAUCUAGGAUUUAGAUGUGUAGAAUAGGUGGGAGA